UGCCAGCCGCCGCGGUAAUACGGAGGGUGCGAGCGUUAAUCGGAAUCACUGGGCGUAAAGCGUACGUAGGUGGCAAAGUCAGUCAGGCGUGAAAGGCCACAGCUUAACUGUGGGACUGCCUUUGAUACUGUAGUGCUUGAAUUAGGUUGAGGUCGGCGGAAUGUGACAUGUAGCGGUGAAAUGCUUAGAUAUGUCAUAGAACACCAAUUGCGAAGGCAGCUGACUAGACCUUAAUUGACGCUGAGGCACGAAAGCGUGGGGAGCGAACAGGAUUAGAUA
This 279-nucleotide ribosomal RNA is filed under the name uncultured bacterium. Its description in RNAcentral is "partial 16S ribosomal RNA". It matches the Rfam family "Bacterial small subunit ribosomal RNA", at positions 506 to 784 of the family's 1533-position model. The record is from RNAcentral.